RNAcentral lists this long non-coding RNA (375 nucleotides) under Rattus norvegicus (Norway rat). RNAcentral describes it as "long non-coding RNA NONRATT006871". Lineage: Eukaryota; Metazoa; Chordata; Mammalia; Rodentia; Muridae. The record is from RNAcentral.
CCGACGCGCGCCCUGGACGUCCCUGCUCCAGCUUGGGCUCGGCGAGGACGUUGCAGGUAGCCGGGUUCCCCAGGGAAGAGGUGUCUCAUUUGGAAGCACGCCUGACGGCCAGUGUCCGAGCCACACAGAGGCCGAGAUUUUCCUUCCUCAUACAGUUAACUACGUUGUUUUCCUUGGGACGCCUACACCAUCUAUUCUGAAGCGCUGUUGAAUGAGAAACCCACGCGUACGGAGUUCAGAUGGCAGGCUUCCUGGAUAACUUCCGAUGGCCGGAGUGCGAGUGUAUUGACUGGAGUGAGCGCAGGAACACGGUAGCCUCCGUGGUUGCAGGAAUCUUGUUCUUUACAGGCUGGUGGAUAAUGAUCGAUGCGGCCG